UUGAACGCUGGCGGCAGGCCUCACACAUGCCAGUCGAGCGGAUGAAGGGAGCUUGCUCCUGGAUUCAGCGGCGGACGGGUGAGUAAUGCCUAGGAAUCUGCCUGGUAGUGGGGGAUAACGUCCGGAAACGGGCGCUAAUACCGCAUACGUCCUGAGGGAGAAAGUGGGGGAUCUUCGGACCUCACGCUAUCAGAUGAGCCUAGGUCGGAUUAGCUAGUUGGUGGGGUAAAGGCCUACCAAGGCGACGAUCCGUAACUGGUCUGAGGGGAUGAUCAGUCACACUGGAACUGAGACACGGUCCAGACUCCUACGGGAGGCAGCAGUGGGGAAUAUUGGACAAUGGGCGAAAGCCUGAUCCAGCCAUGCCGCGUGUGUGAAGAAGGUCUUCGGAUUGUAAAGCACUUUAAGUUGGGAGGAAGGGCAGUAAGUUAAUACCUUGCUGUUUUGACGUUACCAACAGAAUAAGCACCGGCUAACUUCGUG
RNAcentral lists this ribosomal RNA (483 nucleotides) under uncultured bacterium. RNAcentral describes it as "partial 16S ribosomal RNA". It matches the Rfam family "Bacterial small subunit ribosomal RNA", at positions 30 to 507 of the family's 1533-position model. The record is from RNAcentral.